This 1344-nucleotide long non-coding RNA is filed under the name Cairina moschata (Muscovy duck). RNAcentral describes it as "domestica (muscovy Duck (domestic type)) lncRNA (ENSCMMG00000002584.1)". Lineage: Eukaryota; Metazoa; Chordata; Aves; Anseriformes; Anatidae. The record is from RNAcentral.
AAAAUCUGUGGCCUGCUGGAUCACCCUCUUUGUCUCCUGCCUGUGAGAGCAUCAGAAGUGUGAACUGCCCACUUGGCUGCUGGAGGGAAUCCAGAUGGGAGGAGGUCGUUUGUGGCUGAAGCUGAUCGACCCCCAGCCCGGUUGGAACUGCAGCUGGGAUUACGCACAGGUAUUAGCAGAGUAUGGCCACUCCUGCUGGCACUACCUGCUAUUCUCUGGUGCUCAGCAGAAUGAUUUAUCCAUUUAGUGUCAUCCCUGGACAAACCCUGGGGCAAGAGGUGAGUGGAAUCUGCUUGGUUUUCCACCAGCUCUUCCAGCCCUGCUUGUGUUUCGGUGACAAUGAUUGGAAUGUCAGCUCUUUACAACUUUAAAUAACGACUGGAAGCCCUGAUAAAUCGAAAAACAGGUUGGCAGCUAUCACAUCCUGCCCUUGGGGCGGAAUGGAUGGCUGCAAGGUAUGGCCAGAAAGGAUAACAUCUCGUGCUUUGUGAGGUCCCAUCCUGGGCUAAUCUUUGCACUGCUGCAGUUGAAAGGAAAGCACUUUUAGUUUUUAUGCCUUUCGUGCAAAACACUUGGUUUUCUUAUUACGUGAAAGUGCUGAAUGGAAGUUUCUCACUGGACUUAGUUCUUCCUCCUACGAGGUCAAAAUUAACACGAAAACAUCCACUGCUGGAAAAUAAGAGAUUUUUUUUGUGGUGUUUGUUCCCUACUUAACCAUCAGGCACUCAGCUGCUUUCCUGUCCAAGUGGGGGGCAAGCCCAGGACAGGCUUGCAUUUUGUACAAGCAGUCACUGCAGAAUCGUAAGCAACAGAUUAUUUUCUAAAAAUGUCUUUAUUUUUAUUUUUUUUUAUGGUUUCAGACUAUGUUGCUGUGGUUGGGAUGGGGACACAGGUGUUCCUCUGUUUGCGAUUCUCCUCAGAGGCCACCACCCUUACAGCCCCCGCUACCCAAACCUCGCCCCACAAACCCAGUACAAAACACAAAACCUGUGGACGGAGGAAAAACACGACCAGCAAUCGCAAAUUUGUGGCUGGAACGGCAAUUCGGGAAGAACCUUGUGAGAAGACUGCGAGAGUGGGAAUGGGAGGAAAAUAGGGCACGCAAGACAGCUGACAGGCAGCGCCUCUUCCGAACCUGGAUGGAGAUGAGAAAAGCUGCACCCAAAUUUCUCUCCUUGCCCCCACGGGUGCCAGCCCACGGGUCUGGUUUCUCUUUGGAGACGGAGCAGGAGGAGAAGGCAGAAGAUGAAGCCUGUUCAUCACCUGGCUCGUUGAGUUUAGCCCUGAUAAGCCGGGAGAAGCAGAGAAUAACAUGCAAGGAUUUAGGGCAGUGCCAUUUAUACG